Molecule: ribosomal RNA, 301 nt
Filed under: uncultured bacterium
Lineage: Bacteria
Description: partial 16S ribosomal RNA
Rfam family: Bacterial small subunit ribosomal RNA
Source: RNAcentral
CAGUCGCGCGGUAAUACGUAGGGUGCGAGCGUUAAUCGGAAUUACUGGGCGUAAAGCGUGCGCAGGCGGUUGUGUAAGACAGGUGUGAAAUCCCCGGGCUUAACCUGGGAACUGCGCUUGUGACUGCACAGCUAGAGUAUGGCAGAGGGGGGUGGAAUUCCACGUGUAGCAGUGAAAUGCGUAGAGAUGUGGAGGAACACCGAUGGCGAAGGCAGCCCCCUGGGCCAAUACUGACGCUCAUGCACGAAAGCGUGGGGAGCAAACAGGAUUAGAUACCCCUGUAGUCCCUGUCUCUUAUACA